Molecule: ribosomal RNA, 305 nt
Filed under: uncultured bacterium
Lineage: Bacteria
Description: bacterial SSU rRNA
Rfam family: Bacterial small subunit ribosomal RNA
Source: RNAcentral
AUCCUACGGGGGGCAGCAGUGAGGAAUAUUGGUCAAUGGGCGAGAGCCUGAACCAGCCAAGUCGCGUGAGGGAUGACUGCCCUAUGGGUUGUAAACCUCUUUUGUAUGGGGGGAAUAAGCUUUACGAGUAGAGUGAUGACAGUACCAUACGAAUAAGCAUCGGCUAACUCCGUGCCAGCAGCCGCGGUAAUACGGAGGGUGCGAGCGUUAAUCGGAAUUACUGGGCGUAAAGCGCUCGUAGGCGGUAUGUCAAGUCAAGGGUGAAAUCCCCGCGCUCAACGUGGGAACUGCCUUUGAAACUGGCA